AGUGAACGCUGGCGGCAGGCCUAACACAUGCAAGUCGAACGGCAGCACAGGAGAGCUUGCUCUCCGGGUGGCGAGUGGCGGACGGGUGAGGAAUACAUCGGAAUCUGCCUAUUUGUGGGG
RNAcentral lists this ribosomal RNA (120 nucleotides) under uncultured bacterium. RNAcentral describes it as "partial 16S ribosomal RNA". It matches the Rfam family "Bacterial small subunit ribosomal RNA", at positions 29 to 141 of the family's 1533-position model. The record is from RNAcentral.